RNAcentral lists this ribosomal RNA (260 nucleotides) under uncultured archaeon. RNAcentral describes it as "partial 16S ribosomal RNA". It matches the Rfam family "Archaeal small subunit ribosomal RNA", at positions 748 to 1009 of the family's 1478-position model. The record is from RNAcentral.
UAGGCGUAAAUGAUGCGAGUUAAGUGUGGGGGCAUCUACGAGAUGGCCCUGUGCUGUAGGGUAGCCGUUAAACUCGCUGCCUGGGGAGUACGGUCGCAAGGCUGAAACUUAAAGGAUUGGCGGGGGAGCACCACAACGGGUGGAGCUUGCGGUUUAAUUGGAUUCAACGCCGGAAAUCUUACCGGGGACGACAGCAAUAUGUAGGCCAGGCUGAAGACCUUGCCUGAAUCGCUGAGAGGAGGUGCAUGGCGUAGACGUCU